GGCAGUUUUCGAGUUACACAUGCCGGAAGCAGGCUCCCUCCUCUCUGGUUCCAGGUGCGUCACCUGAGAACCACA
This is a non-coding RNA of Myotis davidii, 75 nucleotides long. Lineage: Eukaryota; Metazoa; Chordata; Mammalia; Chiroptera; Vespertilionidae. The record is from Rfam.